Chinchilla lanigera (long-tailed chinchilla) is the source of this 1572-nucleotide long non-coding RNA. RefSeq lists it as uncharacterized. The transcript has 3 exons. The record is from RefSeq and is a predicted model, not a curated record. Lineage: Eukaryota; Metazoa; Chordata; Mammalia; Rodentia; Chinchillidae.
UGACUAAGGUGUGGAACCUCAGCAAAGCCAGAACAGUUCUCACUUAUGUUUCCAACUCCAGCGCAAUUCAACACUGUUGGACACAGUAUACUACCUCCACCCAACAACUAGGCAAGAUGCCAUGAUAUCGUCACUGGGAAUGCUGUUCAGCACUAAAUUUCAGAACUGCUCACCUUACUUCAUCUACUGACAAAUGCAAGUCAACAUCAGCAGAAAACUGAACUACGGAGACACAGCGACAAAGUGAGACAGAGAGAACCACUGAAGACUUAGCUUCCUCCAUCAUUCUACCAGGCAGAAAAUACCACAGCUACAAGCAGGACUGGCAGAGAGUGAAAGGCAGGUCCCAGCACUUGUGGUCUCCAUAUCUGCACAAGGCUAAUUCCAUCAACUGGACUAAACAGGAAGGCAAUUCCUGCCCCUACCCAGAGACAAACACCAUGCCAAGGGGAACUUUACAUUUGUUGGUGACUGAGAAUGUCUGAAGCCCAGUUGCAGCGUGGCAGGCAGAACACAAGACGGCUUUGUUGUUUUGUCGUGGUACCAGUGUCAGAAGGAGGAGCAGAGGCUGCAAAUCUGAAAGGCUGGGUGUGUGGCUAGUUAGUUGUUUGCUGUCUUCAGCUCCAAAUCCAUCCUUCUAGGUGCUGAUUUGUGCGGUGGGGGCCAGGCUGUGCAAACUGCACACUUCCUUUGCCAGCUGAAUCCCGAGUAGGCUCCUCCAGCCGGGGAAAUGUAAGACGGCAGGGAAGGGGAGAAGGGGCUGCUUUGUUGUAGCACUGCGUCCUGGAAGCCCAGGUGAUGCCAACCUCCCCAUCCACUGACACUCUCAGAACAACCUCGCCUAACUCACGGCUAAUCCUGAGGGCACAGCAGUUAACGAGCCAGAAAUAGCCUCUAUCUUCAAAGUACUUAAAACCCAGCACAGAAAAGAGGCACUGAAUAAAUAAAGAACUGUGGUCACUACCAUGACACACACAGAUUCUCAAGACAGCCAUUUGCGGAAGGUCUGCUCCAAAGCCCCACUGUCCAUAAGAUGGUUACAUGCAGGCAUUUCUGGCUAGGGACAUAAAUACAUAAAAGUAAUGGUAGCAAAAACAUUCAGAGGGCCAACUUUGUGUCAUCUGAAGUCGAUUCACCUUUAAAGAAGGUUGGUGUGCAUAUGCAAGAUAUUUUAAAUCAUCCUGCAUUAUAGAAUUUUAAUAUUACCCUUUUAUUCACUUAGUCACUCAAAAAAUGCUCUCAGCAUUGAGGUGCCGAGGACUCCGUCAUGAAGAAGGCAAAGCCAUGCCUUCAUGGAGCUUACAUUACAGACAGGGGAUACCAUGAUUAGCAGCUAAAUAAUACAACAGUAAGAACGCAGAUGAUGCCAAGUUCCAUGAAAAAAAUAAACCGAAAAGUGGAGGGUGAGUAGGUCCAGAGGGUGCGCUGUUUUGUGCAGAGUGGGAGGAGGAAGUUGUUUUGCAUAGAGACUCUGAGGAUGGGAAGGAAUGAGUCCUGAGAAAGAUCUGGAACAAAGGCUUCCAAGCAGAGAGAAAAAGCUACAAAGAAUGGCUUUCACCCCAGAUAGCUCAC